CAGUCGCCGCGGUAAUACGGAGGGUGCAAGCGUUAUCCGGAUUUAUUGGGUUUAAAGGGUCCGUAGGCGGACUUAUAAGUCAGUGGUGAAAGCCUGUCGCUUAACGAUAGAACUGCCAUUGAUACUGUAAGUCUUGAGUAUAUUUGAGGUAGCUGGAAUAAGUAGUGUAGCGGUGAAAUGCAUAGAUAUUACUUAGAACACCAAUUGCGAAGGCAGGUUACCAAGAUAUAACUGACGCUGAGGGACGAAAGCGUGGGUAGCGAACAGGAUUAGAUACCCGAGUAGUCCCUGUCUCUUAUAU
This 301-nucleotide ribosomal RNA is filed under the name uncultured bacterium. Its description in RNAcentral is "partial 16S ribosomal RNA". It matches the Rfam family "Bacterial small subunit ribosomal RNA", at positions 509 to 809 of the family's 1533-position model. The record is from RNAcentral.